AUCGCAUAGAGUGACUUUUAUUAAUUUCAGGAAAUGGAAACCAACCUUUGUAUAUCUGCCUUUUUUAAAAUGUCAUCUGUGCAGGAAAGUUUUGAGCAGUGUUCGUAUUUUGCCUAUCCAGAACAAAAUGGGCUUGGAAAACAAGAGCACAGGGGUCUAAGGAAAACGUAAAAGAUUAAAACACCAGUGAUGUUAGGAAGACUAAGCGUAAAGGUGACAAAUGAUACGGACGUGGGGGAAGAUGCUGAUUGUAGCUGUGGGGACUUCAUCUCUCCACAUACCUACUAGAUCACCAACUCCAUCAAAAGCCUCCCCCAGCCCUCCAGCAAGCUGGACUCUUGAUACAACCCGACCACAAGCCUGCCAUUGACGAAAACCAACUUCAUGCCCAGGAUUCAAUAAUUUUGUAGAAAUGUUUUGUGAAUUUUCGCU
Molecule: long non-coding RNA, 432 nt
Organism: Camelus dromedarius (Arabian camel)
Lineage: Eukaryota; Metazoa; Chordata; Mammalia; Artiodactyla; Camelidae
Exons: 3
Source: RefSeq, a predicted model, not a curated record